UGAGUUCAAGAAGAGGCUGUCAAUUUAUUGGCAUGACACGGUUACUGAAGCUGAGAGCAAACCACAGAAAGAAGGAGGCGCAAUGCGUAUCCGUUUUCUUUAUGGUGGAACGAAUUACAGAAGGAUGAUCGAACCGCUUCACAUUGCUGAGUACUACAGGGAAGGUGGAAAAAAUUACAAAGAGAAAAGGCCUCGACAUUUUGUUCUUUUGGAGCAAUGGUUCAAUGAGGAGGAGAAAAAGAAGAGGGAAAAGAAAGAGAGGGAAGAAAGGGAGAACCCGCAACAGCGCAGCGCAAGCAAGUCCAACCCAAAAGCGAACAGUGUGGCUUCUAGUCUGAAUGAUGAUUCUUGUUUUUGGGUGCACGUCGAGGAAGCACUUAUCUUGUGCGACGAACUAGCGAGUAAUCCACAUGCCAAGCAAAAGCUGAUCGAAUUUGAGUGUUACGUGCUGGAUACGCUCAAGAAUUUCGCAGUGACACCUGAUAUUUUCUUGCCGCAGAGCAGCUUCAUGCGAUGGUGGAACAAGUAUAAAGAGAUUGUGGGAAGUAGCUACUCCUCAGAACUCACAGAAGUCAUGAAGCGUCACACUUAUCGCAGGUAUGCCGAUGGGGUCUCAGUUCUUGCUGGUCUAUAAUCCAAGAUAAUUAAGUUUUAAGCAAUCAAUUAAAUCAGAUAAAGCAAGAUAAGUUUUGCUGUAUUCAUCACGAUCUUCAUAGAGAGAGACGUGCAGUACUUGCAGGACUUGUUGGUGCUACUACGUUUGAAUAUUUUUGUUUGUGGUUUCUUUUUGUUUUGGGCUCUAGCAUCUAGCUCUCUUGUAAGAAAAAUAAUGUGUGGGGGAGUUGUUUCAGUUAUAUUGUUGUAAUUUCCACUUCAUAAAAGUAAUGACGUUUGUUGUAUUUUGAUUUCACUAAGUUUGAGAACUACCCUAAUCAGCAUUUAUAAUAAGUUGAAAUUUACGUUUGUCGUGGUUUACGUUGUAUUACUCUUCAUAUACCUAUCAAGUACAAAAGCAGUAAAUACAUAUUUUAGCCAAGUGACUAAGUGUGGAACUGGGAUUCAAAGCUAAAGUAGAAUUACUUAUGUAUCCCAUAAUGUAUACCUUCUGAUGGCUUUUCACAUAGCACGCAACGUGUGAUUAAGGAACAAAAUGGUAUACACCUCGAGAUAGGUAAGUCCAUCAGCUAGUAAAUUAGCUUGAUGUAAUGUAGUCACGUGACGAGUAAGAACGAAGAAAUGAGUGUACAGCUUGGGACACAGUACAUAUAUAUAGUAAAACUACAUGUAUGUAUGCUUUGGGUGAGGCCGGCCAAGAGGGAUCUCCAUUUUUUUUUCAAAAAAUAGGAAUUAGUUGUGAGACUCACUCCACAUCGAGCUUCAACGGUCUGAACCGUUUAUUUAUUAAGAAGAAAUUAGGUUAUCAUCAUUCCUUUUGCUACUCCAUUAAUUAAAAUCCUAUUUUUUUUCAAUUUUUGAUCAAAGUCCUUGGGUAUUAAUAACAUCAUUAAUUAUUUCAAUAAUAAAAUAUUUUUUUAUUUCUUAAUAUAUUCAUUUAAUGUUAAAAAUGUUACAAUUAGUAUAUUUAUAUUUAUGACUAAAGUUUUUACCAUAUAUUUUUAGUUUUAGUUUGUACCCAUUUUUAAUUUGUAAUUCUUUUUUAAUUUGUACCAAUUUUCUUUUCAGUUUUAAUUUGUACCCAUAUAUUAAUUUCUUUUUGUGCCCAUAUUUUUUUAAAGUUUAUUUGUAUUUGUACCCAUAUAUUUUUUUUAUUUGUACUUUUUAUUUUGCUAAAUGUACCCAUGCUAAUUAUAUGUACCCAUUCAUGUAAAACUUUUUAAUCUUAAAAUGUACUCAUUCUUAAAUAUACCAAUUUGUUAUAUGUAAAAUGUACCUUUUUUAUAUAUAUAAAAUUUAUUCAAUUUUUUUCUAAUCUAUUUUAAACUUAUAUGGGUACAUUCUUUUUUCUUUGAUUUUAAAAUGUAUCCAUGUCAAGUUUAAUCGAAGAAAUUUACUAAUGUUAUUAAGCCUAAUAUCUUUUUUUUUUUUUAUGAUUUUGAAGAAUGUACCCAUGUUUUGAUACAAUAAAUUUUUUGGUUAAUUUUGAUGAAUGUACCCAUGUUUAUAUAUAUACACACACACAAUAGUAUAUUUAUAUUUUAAUAUUUUUAAUCCCACAAAUUAUGGUUUUUUUAUUUAAAAUCUCAUUUAUAUAAACAACUAAAAUUUCUAAUUUUUAAUUUAAAAAAUAUAGUAACAUACAUAGAAAUAAAUUAUCAUAUUAAUUUCAGGGACCUAGAUAAAAAAUUAAAAACUAAUAAGGUUUCAAUCAAAGAAUAUUCAUAAUUAAGGGCCGCAUCCAAAGUCUCCCUUUUUAAAUCUUGAUUUAUAGAUCAUUCUUGCAAAAAUUCAAGUCCGAAACCAUUUGCUAAUUUAAUUAUCACGAUAAAAUUUUAAUGUUUUAUUAGAACAAAACGUUCGUCAGCUCUUUGAACUCAAUUAGAUGCCUUAAAUAUUUUCGAUUUGGCUAAUAUUUUACAAAAUUAAUCUGGCACAUCCUGCCUCCACCAUAGCAAAAUAUUGUUCGCUUUGGGUCAUGCCCUCACGGAUUUGUUCUUGGGCUUCCACCCAAAACGCAUCAUGCUAAGAAGAGAUGAGCAUGUACAUAUAAAGCCAGGGACCAACCUUCACCCAACCGAUGUGGGAUCUUACAACCCACCCCCUUAGGGAGACCGAUAUCCUCGUCGGCACAUCCAAGCAGACGGUGAGUCUGGCUCUGAUUCCAAAUUGUCACAUCUCGCCUUCACCGUAACAAAAUAUUGUCUGCUUUGGGCCACCCUUCAUGGAUUUGUUCUUGGGCUUCCAUCCAAAACGUUUCAUGCUAGGAAGAGACGAGCAUGUACAUAUAAGGCCAAUGACCAACCUUCACCCCACCGAUAUGGGAUCUUACAUAAUCUAUGAAAUGAAACUUAAAAAAAAUACACAAUUCAAAUCUUUAAAAUUUGAUAUGGUGCCUUUCCCUUAAAAUGAGGUAGUGAUUUAGAUAGACCAUGUCAAUUUGCCAUGCCAAAUAUUAGGAAAGUAGAGUGUAGACAUGGGAAGAAAACCCAGCUUAGAUAUGGGACCCACAGGCACAUGCAGUUCUCAUCGAUCUCAAUAAUUUUCAACAAACCUUUAGAGCAAGUCCACCGGAGUGGUUUUUGCCCAGCACCCUGUCCAAAUAACAAGCUGAGGGACAGGGAAUUCACUUCAGCUCGUCGGGCUGCCUGGCACACAACCCAUGCCAGUCAACAAAUUAGCCCAUUUUUGACAGACCCAAGAGCCGGCCUAUUUGGCUGGCGCGUGGACUGCAUGCGCGCUUGGCAGCGAGUAGAAGACAAGCCGGCAGGCGCUGUUAGCCCACUUGUGCUGCAGCAACGUGGCUCGCUUAGAGCCGUUGGAUUUCCAACGGUAACAAAAAUUUAAAUUUUACUUUUAAACUGGACCUUUCGAUCACAGAUCAACGGUCCACGUUUUAUCCCCCUCCCCAAAAAAAGGGUCAAACGGUCAGAUUUAUAGCCGUUGGCCACGUGGCAGAUCAUGGGCUCUUGGAUUUGAAUAUUUUUCAAAUCCAACGGUCCAGAUUAAUUAACUACAUUAAAAUUAAUUAAAAAAAAUUAAAAAGUAUUUUUUUUCUAUAAAUACCUAACCCUCAUCUUCCACCUUACACCACAUUUCAAUAUUUUCUACACUUUCUACACUUUCUAUAAAUACCUAACCCUCAUCUUCCACCUUAGCGGAAAUCUAUUCACAAAAUAGUACGUUCGGAUAAUGACACGUGGCGUGACGAGAUUGGUUAAAAAUCCCAUCCGAAAUAAAACUAUUUUAUUUUUGUAUUCUUUUAGAAAAAAUUUAAAAAUAUUUUAAAUGGGCUGGGUGCCAGCGCAUUUUGUAGGGGUGGAGAUCGUUUGUGCCAGCGCAUUGUUUUAGGGGUGGAGAUGCAUUGGCCUAUUACUGUUCAUUGGAGUAUAUUACUGUUCACUGAAGUGGAUAAAUGGGCUGGGUGCUGGCACAAGGUCCUUAGGGGUGGACUUGCGCUUAUGUUUUGAUUCGAACAGUCUCCCACUUUCGAUUCUUCCAGUCCUACUGCAAUUGUCCUUUCGUGCUUUUUGCUCGGAGGGCAAGGAGCAAUUUUUACUCUUUACUUUAUAAGUUUAACCGCCCAUUAAAAAAAUAAUUUUUUUUUGAAAAUUAAAAUUGGUUUUCAGAAUUUUCUUUUCAAUUUUUGAUUUUCAAACGAAUCUUAUGAUGUUUAUAUGGGCAAAAUACAUUAACGUGUGCAUGAACAAAGAGGAGCACGUCGAAACCGAGAAAAAGUCUAAAUUUUUUUAUGUGGUUCAAUAUCUUAGUGAAUGAAGCGUUAGAUUUCUACCCAUGCAUUCUGGAUUUGAAAUCCUCCCAUUUUUUAAAUUAUUAUAAUAAUUUGAACAUCUCCUAAUAAUAUGGUACGAAUUUAUUGCUACCGUAAUAUUCCAAUCAAACAAAACAAUGACAUGUGUACAUUUUUCAAUACGUGACACUGACAUUGUAUAGUUAAAUUGAUCAAGGUGCUAUGUGGAAGAUGAUCAUCUCCAAAUCCAUUUUGUGGGAAUCCUAGGGAUUCUCACAUCAUAGCCAUUCAUCGUACAUCGUGCUUGUCAAUUUUCGUCGUGUACUAUUUGUGUUUAAUUUUAAAUAAAAAAAGUCAAAUGAUUUCUGACCACACACGAUGAAUGACUAAGAUAUGAGGAUCCUUAGGAUCCGGAUAGAAUCCAAAUCCGUACUACAUGACGAUAAAAUUGUUCUAUAUAAAUUGCUCUCUAAAAUUAGGUCGACAUCGUCCUUUUUUAAGUUGGAUACAACACACAAUUAGCCCUUGGAUUCGAAAAUACAAUUGGAUCGUCGUCAUUUAUACGAUUUAAUGGAACACUAGUCCAAAUUGGAGUGGGGCCCAUUUCCUUUCCAAUAAAAUAGCCACGUUGAUGUUGGACUGUUGGAUUAGCGACGUUGAUGAGCUUUUAGUGCGCUAUUUAGCUUUAACGUUGCAUAUGAUCCAUCACGUGACGAACAAUAUACGCGCCAGAUACAACGUUGUAACUUUUAACCUUUCUCCCCAUUAUCCACCUAAUUAUCUCAGCCUCCAUUUUAUGACAAUUUAAUAUCUACAAUCUUUUGCUAAUAGUUGGGGGGUUUUCUUAACUAAGAUGUUUGUGACUCUCUAAUGUAUACAAAAUUGUACAAGAUUAACCACAACCGUACAAUGAUGACUGAACUCUGAGUUCCCAAAGUGGACCACACUUAGGUGAUUCUGGAGAAAUUUAGGUGCAAUUGUCACACUGUCAAAUAAUGUUAAUCAGGUUUAAUAAUAAAAAAAUUAGUGUUGUCGAACCACAGCUAUACUGGAGGAAGAAAGUCCUCGUUAAAGGAGGGAAAAGUUGAUAUUGGUGUCACGCUCGACCUUGUCGAGGGGGAUGAAGGUGCGGUAGGUUUAAUACUCGAAUUAACCAAAGAGUGAUGUUAUCUGCACACCUUCUUUUAAGUCUCACACACUCCUUGUUAAUUUAUGUCACAUGAUCAUCUUUAAUUCAUUAGAUUCGAUGACCAAUUAUUGAGAGUUGUGUGUGAAAGAUAAAAAGAGGUUAGCAACACCCUUAACUAGAGGUGGUAAAUCAACAUGUUGGGUUGUUAAUGGUUACUCAUUAAGACUCAUUUAGUUUGAUUUCAGCUUACACCAUUAUCACCAUCACAAACCCUACCUCUAUAUUAUGAUGAUAUCAAAUUAAACGAGUCUUAACGGGUACUCAUUAACAACUAAAUGUGUUUAUCUCCACCUUUACACUUGUUGAUGCACAAAAUCGGGUCGAUCUUGGACCAACGUAAAUCCGACCGUGAAUCACAUAAACGCACAAGAACACAAAGAUAUAUCGUGGUUCACCUCAAGUUGAGGCUACGUCCACACUGGUGUUGAUUCCGUUUCACUAUGUAAAUGAAUGUUGAAUAUACAUGGAGGCUAUAGAGGCAGUGUUUACUCUCUUUGCUAUUCUGUUUGCUUUCUCGUUUCCCCUCUGUCUGUUUCCAUUUCUCUUUAAGUGAGUGUGAGGGAGCCAUUUUAUAAAAUAAGGGUUUCCUCCCAUCUUACAUGAAUCAUGGGCUAAGUAAUGAAGCCCAAAUACUGAGACCCAAUAUAUGGUACAACAUAAGUCCCCCAAGUCUUCAGUCAAGAGAGUCUUUUGGCUGGAGACUUCAAAUUCAAUCCAUGUGCAGGCUGAAAUGACUAGAUGUCGUUCAGAACUAGUACUCGACAUAAGACGGUGCUUAACAUGAAGCAAUAAUCAGCUAGAGGUAGCACACGUUGCGAGGCUGCUCGACUAGAGGCAAUGCUCGCGGCGAGGCGGUUGCUUGGCUGGAGGCGGUGCUGGUUACGAGACAGCUCAACUUGUGGCAUUCUUCAUUGCGAGUAUGCACUAAAUGUCAGUGUGUGCUCAUUAUGAGUUAACUUUCGACAUGACUCGGGUCCACUUGUCGAGUUCGCAUAUUGGGUCUAUGUGUCAAGUCCGCGGAUCAGGUCUAUAAGUCGGGUCUUUGAGUCGGGGCCAUCCGUAGGGUCUUUGAGUUGGGUCCGUAAGUCGAGGUUCGAGCUCAAAGGUGUCCAAUCUCGUAAGUGCCCGAAUGAAUGGGUGUCCAAGCACAUAGGUGUCCAAAUGAGCGAGCGUCUGAGCAAGUGGGUGUCUAAACGAGCGAGUGUCUAAGCAAGUGGGUGUCCGGUCAGACAAGAGAUCAUCGUUCGAACUAAAUCUUUGUCACCAUAAGCAUGUGGCUCAUCGAUCUAUAAGUUGAUCAGUAACAAUGUUGAUCAACGGAGUCCUGGCAAUAAAUAAUAGUAUAAGCAUGAAUGCAUAAUUAAUAAAUCAAUCACAGAGUUUGGCAAAAGUAUAAUGUCAUACUAUGCAAAUUGUGUGGUAAAUGACUUGUUUCAUAUGUGACAUAGUUAAUGACAUCACAGUAUCACUAGGCAAUGAAUAAAUAUUGCAUAAGUAAUUGCCUAAAUAUGUAGGUCAUUAGUGAAAUAUGAUAGAAAGCGUACUGAGCAUACGUGACUAUUGUAGCAUGUAAUCUUAAUAUAAUGACAAUGGGAAGACACACAAUAUAUUAUAUAAAUAUAUUUUCAUUCAAAUAAUGAGGAUAUCUAAUUUGGUCAGACCAUGCCACUAGCUAUAGUAAUUGUGGGGUGAUAAAAUAAUAAAAAUAAAGGUAUGUGGUAUAGUGGGUGUAAAGAAUAAAGAGGGUUUUAGGUGGAUUUGAUCAGUAGUCAUGUUGAAAAUAAAUAAAAUAUUUAAAUAAUGAAUUCAGUGUUCAUGAAUGAUUAAAGCUGGCAAGACUAAGGACAAGUGGUCUUGUAAUAAACAUUACAUAAUAAUAUAAAAUAUUAAUAGACAAUGACAUUGAGAAAACAUAAUGAUGGGUUUCUUUCAUGGCCGACAAUAUCAAAGGGGGAUAAUAAUAAAAUUAUUAUAAGCAAGCUUAUCUUUUUCCUGGUUUUCCCGUGGGUUUUUUUCAAUGGGAUAGUGGGUACAUGUCCUCGUGAAGAGCUACAAGGCACAUCAAAGCUUGGAGCUUGAAACCCAUUUGGGAUUUUGAGUUUGUGUAUAAGUAAAAGUGAAGCAGGAAAGCAAGAAGGUGAGCAGAAUGGUGAAGUUGGUGAACUUCGCUAUGGAUCCAACGGCUGAGAAACACUGAGGCUCUAUUUUCUCAUGCAGGUUUAGUUUGUAACAGUGAUGCUUAUGUUCUAAUUUAGCUCUCAAGAUCUGCACAGAAAAUGUAGAGAGAUAGAGAGAGAGAGAUGCGGUGGUGGCUAUGUUUCCAUCGUUGCUGCCGUGAUGGGGAGCUGGAACAGAAGACAUGGGUUUUGCAGUGAUUGUGCAGGUUUUUGGUUCUUAGGUUUCUACAGAUUCACGGUGGAGGUUGUGAGGUUUGAUGAAAAAAUGAAAGAGAACCAACAUAGCUUUUCGUGUCGUUUCCCACAGACGGCGCCAAAUGUUGAUGCACAAAAUCAGUGAGGACUGUGGUACAACAGAAAGUGUUAAGUUUGUGACCUUAGCUAGAUUGCUCCGGUCACUAGUGUGGAUAAGUAUGUAAAUGGAUAGAGACAAGGAAUCAAACUCAAGAUGUACGUGGUUCAUCCAGAUUCGCUACGUCCACGAAGUAUAUGAGUUCUCUUUAAUUGUGAAAGAUUUACACAAGUACAUAGGUUCAAGCUCUCAUUUAGUGAGUACUAGUGAAUGAUUUAGUACAAAUGACAUUAGGGAUUAUUAUGGGAGAAUGAUCUCCUUUUAUAGAAGAGAGUUUCUAGUUUUGUUCUGGCCUUGACACAUGUCAUGCUAUGAUUGGCCUUUGAUGUUGACACGUGUCGUCCUGUGAUUGGCCUCUUGGUGUUGACACGUGUUACGCUGUGAUUGGCCUCCUAGUUUGAGGGAAACUCUUCUGGGUCCUUGAUGGUAUAACGUUGACCAGUGCUUGGUAGUUUCGAGAUUGAUCAAGUAUGGUACAAACAACACUUAACCAAAUAAUGACGAAAGGUUGACAUUUCAUAUCGUCUUCUUUCAUAAGCUUGAUAGUCAUAAAAUAGAAAUAAGGAUCCUCUUCGAAUUAUCUUUGUGAGGAUCCCGAGGAUUCAUGAACUGUGUCCAUUCAUCGUACAUCGUGCAAUCAGAAAUCAUUUUAAAUUUUAUUAUUUAAAAUUGAACACAAACAGUAUUUAACAAAAACUGGCCGCAAGAUGUACGAUGAACGAACACGAUUCACAAAUUUUAGAAAUCCUCAUGAAGAGGCUUCAGAUUCAUAAAAUAUUGUAUAGAUAUGUGUUAGACCAAAAGCGAGGUAAUUACACUACACGACAAUGUGACAUUCAAAUUGAAAAAAUACUCAUUACUCUCAAGUCUAAAGAACACUUAGCUACACUCAAUCUGUAUCGUGACAUGGAUAAUGUUUUUCACACCUAUUUUUACUUUCUACAUACCUUGGUUAAGUUUUGGUCAUUGAUUUUUUUUUUCAAUUCAUAACAGAAAAUUAAGAAUGAUGGGUGAAAAGUAAAAAUAAAUAUGUGAAUAGCACUACCAUGUGACAAUCCUGAAAUUAAACUUUUCCACAUUGCAAUGCAUAAUUAGUCUUUUUAUGCAGUUAGAUAACUUUAGGGUUUACGUGUGAUUAAUUGAACUAUAACAUGAGGUGAUAAUGAAUUACUUAUCCACUUAACUCGUCAAUUAUACAACUAAUUUAAUACUUUACUUAAAUGCAAGUGACGUCUACAGUACUAGGCUCGGUCAAUGUAUGAUUGACUUUAUACAAUGUCACAGUCAUAGUGGUAUUGAAGGAAUUCGGAUCCUCACCGGAUUUUCUUUGUAAGGAGCUUGAAGAUCUGUGAAUCAUAUCCAUUCAUUGUAUAUCGUGCGGUCAUAAAUUAUUUUAAAUAUUUUUAUUUAAAAUUAAAUACAAACAGUAUCUGACAAAAACUAACUGCACAAUGUACGAUUAACGGACACGAUUUACAGAUUUCCAUUAACCUUACCGAAAUGAUCCGGAGAUGGACUCAGAUCCUCUCCGGAUCAUUUCCGUGGGGAUCCUUCUGACCUAUUAAUCUCAUCCGUUGAUACUAAUCCAACGGCCAAAUGAGUUUCGCGUCUUUUCUCUCUUUUCUCCCUUACGCUCUUCCCCUCAACCCUUCAUUCUCCCUCAAUUCGAAGCACCCGACCCGCUGCCACCAUGUUACGAACUGGAUUUGAACCAGCAUCCCAAAAUUCCCCGGAAAACUUCCAUUUAUAUUCUGAUCGUGACUAUGGUCUUCCAACCCAGCAACCCCCAACCUCCCCUGCUGCAAAUUGAAUAAAGUCCGAAUUCAAAGGACCUACAAAAAUAUCACUAAACGUACUGCAAAAAUUAAAGAUUCAGAGAUAAGAAAUACAAAAGUUAACAAGGAAUUUAAUUGGGGUGGGCUGGGGCUGAAGAAGAUUGAGAAGAUGCUGGUGUGGCGUUGGUGGGUGCUUCUAAGUGAGAGGAGAAAGAUGAAGAGUCGAGGGAAGAGAGAGAGAAAGAGGUGAAAAUAAUUUGGCCGUUGGAUUUGUCCCAACGGUUGAUAUCAAUCGGUCAAGAGGAUCCUUACGGAAAUGAUCCGGAGAGGAUCUGAGUCCUCCGGAGAUGACCAAGUUGGGUAUUGAAGGGCAGAAAAGUCGUCCUCACCCGCUCCAUAAAGUAGGGGUAUUUCCGUCAUUCCAUGUGCCUUGAUCCGAAGUUCAACCCAAAAUUUAAGUGGGCCGUCGAUUACUCCUAAGCACGAUUCCCGUGAUUGACGGUGGAUAGAGUGCCGCGUGGUUACUCCCUUCCCCACUCUGUCUACCCCCGGUAAAUCCAUCUCUUCUACGAGGGCACGAGACCUCACUCUCUAUUUCUCUCUCUCUGUCUUUCCUCCUCUGAGCUUCCAAAAUGCUCAUUUCUUCCUUCCGGCUACCGCCCGCCAGCUGAAGCAGUUGCAGAAGCAGCAGCAGCCACAGAGAGAAGCUGAGCAUGGCGGCAUUCCUCAUUGUCCUCCUCACAUCUCUCUACUAGCUCUCACCACCCUCCCCGGCGCCGAAUCCCGACUCUACACCAACUACUACCAAAAAUCGUGCUCGAGAUUCGCUCAAAUCGUCCAAGACACCGUCACAAAUAAGCAGAUCAUGAAUCCUACCACCGCCGCCGCCAUUCUCCGCCUCUUCUUCCACGACUGCCUCGCCAACGGCUGCGAGGCCUCCAUCCUCCUCUCCUCCACCCCCUUCAACAAGGCGAUGGAGAAGCUCGGCGUGUUAGGGAUUCAGACCGGAAGGCGGAGAGAGAUUAGGCACAGGUGUCGAUAUCAACCUCUCAAAGAACAGAGAAGCAGGAACUACUCGCUGUGCACCAGUUCAUAAAUUGGUCCAUCGCUGGUAUGCGUUUUAACUCUUCCCUAUUAGGUUAAUAUUUAUACUUCCAUUAUUUUCAGCAAAUGGUCUCUUGUCCCGGCUUACUUCCAUAUUUCUCGGUUUUGCUCCCACAUUUCUUGGAUUCCUGGGAUUGUAGGGAUCCCAAAAUCGUAACCGUUCAUCCUAUAUCUUCGGUUAAAUUUCGUUAAGUACUAUUUAUAUUUAAUUUUAAAUUUUAACGGUGCACUGGCCCUUGUACUCAUCUCGUGGGUACUAGUUGAAAACACACUUAUUUACUCAAGUAAGGUGAAAAGGUUGUCAAGUUCCUUUAGCGAUAUGGAGGAUAACGUCAUACUUGAUGGUAGAUACUCUCGGAUGUCUUUUGUGGCUUUAGAUGGUUUUAUUCAACGUUGCUUUCUUUGGAACGGGAAACUUUGCGAGUAUUGCAAGUUUUGGGAUUUCAUCAGUGUAUCGGUUCAUUACCGUCUUCAGUGUAAGUGAAGGUUGAACUUUCCUGGGCAUUAACGCUGCUAAGGCACACCUCUUGCGGUCUUCUGCAAUUUUUUGCCCUUUAUUCCUGCAACUGCUGAUUGCUCGUACAAAGUUCGAUUGAAAUUUAAUGAGAGUCAGAGCAAUGGGAUUUUCCAAGUGUUCCCCAAAGAUCUCACAACGUUCGAUUGAAAUUUUGGCACUCUUCUCACAUCUCUUGAUUAGUUGAUACGAUUUAACCAGUUAUCCCAUUUAGUUAUUCAUUGAUCGAUUUUGUAACUACAUUUAACCAGUACAUACUCCACUUUUGGCUGUCUGAAAUAUUUGAUUGGUCGUAGAUUAAAUGUUACUAUCUUCCAUCUCGAAACAAUAAAAGUUGGCCCUAUAUUGGGACAAAUUAUUGGCUGCGAACGACCAGACUACAUGGUUGUUUAAGAGCAUCUUUAACCGGAGUCCCAGCACUAUUUUUGAAGAAUCAUUUACGAACUUAAAGGGAAUAUACUUGUUCCCAAAAGAAAAUUAGUUCCAAUGGAGUGUCUUAUAGUAUAAUCUUUAAAUUUAGAUACUACGAAUUAAAAAAUCAUUGUUAAUUUCACAAUGAGAAACCUAAAAUAACUUUCACAACCGUUGUUUUCUCAUCAAACCAAAGAGAAAAGUAACGGGACCUGCCCCAUUGGAAGCUGCACAGUAUUUUAGAGUUCCAUCACGUGCUCACGUGCUAGGGACUUUCCCCGAAGAAAGAUGGUAAUCUACUAUAAAACCAAGAGUAAUGUUAUCUACAUACUUAUUUUACUUUUAAUACAUCCAUAUACAAUCCUUAAUUGUAAGGUAAUUUUGGCGGUCUCCGGGCAGUCCCUAUAUUAUAGGGAUUGGAGUUCCGAUCCACCGGAAGUCACCAAGUUCUUAACUUUAAGGAUAUAUGGUGGUAAGAACAAGUAUAGGAACAAACAUUGAAGAUGCUCUAAUUGCACGCACAAAACACCCAUUCUUGCCGAUGGUCCCACCCUGCGCCCCUUGCGCGCGUGCGAGCUUCCGAACUCAAGGAUUGCCCCUUGUAAUUGUAAAAGCAAAGAAUAGAAAAAGACGACCAUAUUGUACUGCUGGUAGGUGAACUGGGAAAGAAACAGAACGGUCGACGGCCAUACCCGAGCCCUCAGAUUCACUAGUUAGAUUACUUUGUAAAUUUCUUUGCAUCCUUCCGGAACGUUCAGUCGUUAAAAUCAGCAAUGUAUUAACCUGCUCCAAAUAUUCAUUGCAGGGAGCAAGAGGGAAUAAAUAAUGCAAGUGGGAAUAAUUAACCUGAAUUUUAACACGUAAACGUACAAAAGAAGACAAGGAAAAGCUUCGAGGUCUAGGGCCCUCCCUUUUUCUCCGAGAAACUUUCAGGAAUAAGUUGCGUGGACGACGACCUAGACUUUGCUGUGCAUCGUCGACUUGGGGGGAAGCUUCGUCGUGCGGCCUUUUGAUUGGUGAGACAAAGACGUCCAUAAUAUUUAAUAACGAUAGGAUUGAUUCGUAUUCUAUAUAAAGAGAGAUAUAUUGACCAUUCCGGUAUCCUCUUCUCUCCAUCUACUGUGUGUUUUAAGCAGAUCGGCAAAAGCUUGAAGAUGAACGACCGGUAAGUCAACUUCGACUUCAAACUUCUCCGAUCCUUGUUUUUCUUUGAAUCCUUUGCCAUGAUUUUUCUUGUGUUGUCUUGAUUGAGCGGAAAAUGGUCUGGAAUGGCUAAAAGUGUGUUUUUCAACUAUCAAAAGUUCUUAUGGUUGAAUCUGGCAAAAAAAACUUGCAAAACGCUUUUAGAUAGACGGUAUAAGCUCUUUUCGGAGAAGCAUGUGCUAUGUCCGCCCUCUACAAGCACUUCUAUAUUUUCAAGUGCUUUUUCGAAUAGCACUUGAGUAUUUAAUAAACAUUUCUAUAUGUUCAUAGUAAAAGAUAAGUGCUUAUGAGUAAAGUGAAUCUUACGAAAUACAUUAGCUUAAUAAUCGUCCUUAUAGUUUACCAAAUUGCAAUUUCAUUCUUACAAGUAUUUUGCUAAAGUGGCUUCGUUAGAAAUAGGUAGUAUUAUCUACGCAUUUAUUUUUACUUGUCAUACACGAGAGAGGAUCCUCGCCGGAUCCUCUUUGUGAGGAUUACGGGAAUCCUUCAAUCACAUCCGUUCAUCGUACAUCAUGCGGUCAGUUUUUGUUAGACGCAAAAGUUUCAACAGAAGUUUCAAGCAUGUUUGUUAUUAUAGUUGGAUGCUAUUUGCUUACACCCUCGAUUUAACUUUGCUUCAAUUUUUUGUUGGUGAUGACAGAAUUAGCAGUGCUGGGCUUGAACUAGCAAAUGUGCUGGUGACUUCUCCUCCCCUGCAGCAGUCAUGGGACGCGGUUCUUGAUCAGAUGCAAAAGCUCCCCCCAGCAGCUGAUCCGAACCAAAAAAUGGCCUUAGACAUUAAUGAAACCAAGCACUCAAACACCGCCAUCAUAUCUUUUCUUACUUCACCCGUCACGCUUCACGAUCAACAAACGAUGGUUUCAUCGUUGACUCUCAAGAAUGCAGAUUUUUCUCUCUUUGAGUUUUUGUGCGGCAAAAACAUCCCAAGUUUCUCCGUCAAUGAAUUGGCAAUCAAUUUCUUCAAAUUGAACCUGAAAAACCUCGAUAUUUGGCGAAAAAAGGUGCGUAUUAUUGUCUCUCUGGUAACUGAUAAUGUUUAAUCGUUUUGACAACUCUUAAUAGUGAGAAACAGUUAAAAAAUCAUAAUUAUAUUGCUAGAUUACUUUUCACUUAAUUAGUUUGGAUUCUUUGACAAACUGUUAAUGUUAACGAAAAACGCUUACAAAACCGAGUUUAAGUGUUUUUUCUUUUACUAUGAAAGAAGUUUGAGGAACUUAUUUGUAAAGACUUCUCCGAAUUGAUUAUAUAGAAAUUCAGUAAUUGACUAACUUUUAUGUAAUAUUUCAGCUGGUAGAAAUGUUAGAAAGCAGCAAAUCCUCACGGAUAGUUAUCACUGGACAUUCUUGGAGGUGCUGUGGCUACCCUUUUCACCUUAUGGCUGCUACAAAGCCUUGACUUGUUGAAAGCGAAACGCCUCCUUUGCAUCACUUUCGGUUCACCCUUGAUCGGUGACGAACAACUCCGACAAUGUGUGUUGGAAUUCUCAACAUGGAGUUCUUGCUUCUUGAAUGUAGCCUCCAUCAAUGAUCCUGUACCUAAAGUCUUCCUAACUUCGCAAGGGAGUGGUUAUAAGCCUUUCGGAACAUUCCUACUGUGCUCCUCUUCGGGUGGUUCUUGCAUUGAGGACGCUGAUGCCAUUUUGCAACUAUUGGUGGAAACCAGCUCUCAGUGUGUUCAAAAUCCAGUUCCGAAUUCAGGGACUCAGUUGUUUGAUUACGGAAAGAUUUUGAAUGAUCUCAAGACUAAGGCAUUGUCUAGAGAUGUCUUUGAGUUGGUUGAAGAGGAUAGAGUUCCACUUAAAGCUGGAAUUAAAACACAGUUGGCAGCAAUAUUAGGAGUUCUCAGCUCACAGGUAUCAAACUUUCAACACAAAUAUCUAAUUUGAUGAUGAUUUAGGGAAAUGGUUUCCGCACAAACCUGUUUAUUUCCAUCUCUUGAUUCUUCUUUGAUUUAUUUAAUCCAAAGACUGGAAAUAAACACGGGUGUGCAAGGAGAGAAUAUGAGUUUGCGGAAAUCACAUCCCACGUUUACUUCUAGUUACUAACUUUUCUCUCAACUCCUUUUGUAAAAGUCAUUGCAGCAGCAACAACCCAACAUAGAAUUCGAGAGUCUGGUGAAAAAGAUGGUCGCUCACGAACGUAAACUAGCGGUCCAGAAGACGAUGGUUUACAGUUCUUUCCUGAAAUUGAAUGAGAAUAAAAAGUACAUGGCCAACAUGGAAUGGUACAAGAAGGAGUCCAAAGACAUGGAAAUUGGAUACUAUGACAGGUACAGAAACAAGCGUUACCGGAGUGACGUUAUUGCCGAAGAGUUCACGAAGAAGCUCUCAAUUUAUUGGCAUGACACGGUUACAGAAGCUGAAAGCAAGCCCCAGAAAGAAGGAGCCACAAUGCGUAUCCGUUUUCUUUAUGGUGGAACGAAUUACAGAAGGAUGAUCGAACCGCUUCACAUUGCUGAGUACUACAAGGAAGGUGGAAAAAAUUACAAAGAGAAAAGGCCUCGACAUUUCGUUCUUUUGGAGCAAUGGUUCGAUGAAGAGGAGAAAAAGAAGAAGGAAAAGAGAGAGAGGGAAGAAAGGGAGAACCCGCAACCACGCAGCGCAAGCAAGUCCAACUCAAAAGCGACGAGUGUGGCUACAAGUCUGAAUGAUGAUUCUUGUUUUUGGGUGCACGUCGAGGAAGCGCUUAUCUUGUGCAACGAACUAGCGAGGAAUCCAGAUGGCAGGCAAAAGCUGAUCGAAUUUGAGCGUUACGUGCUGGAUACGCUCAAGAAUUUCGCAGUGACACCUGAUAUUUUCUUGCCGCAAAGCAGCUUCAUGCAAUGGUGGAACAAGUAUAAAGAUAUUGUGGGAAGUAGCUACUCCUCGGAACUCACAGACGUCAUGAGGCGUCGCACUUAUCGCAAUUAUGCAGAUGGGGUCUCGGUUCUUGCUGGUCUAUAAGCCAAGAUAAUUAAGUUUUAAGCAAGCAAUUAAAUCAGAUAAAGCAAGAUUAGUUUUGCUGUAUCGCUCAUGAUCUUCACAGAGAGACGGGCAGUACUUGUUGGUGCUACUACGUUUCAAUAUUUUUGUUUGUGGUUUCUUUUUGUUUUGGGCUCGAGCAUCUAUAAGAAAAAUAAUGUGUGGGGGUAUUGUUUCAAUUAUAAUGUUGUAAUUUCCACUUCAUAAAAGUAAUGACGCUCGUUGUAUUUUGAUUUUACUAAGUGUGAUAAGUACUACCUAAUUAGUAUUUGUAAUAAAGUGAGACUUACUUUUGUCGUGGUUUGUGUUGUAUUAAUCUUCAUAUGAACCUAUAAAGUACAAAAGCUUAAUCUUGUAAAUACAUAUUCUAGCAAUGUGAAGAGUGGAAUUAGGAUUCAAUGCUAAAGCAAAAUACUUACGUAUCCCAUUGUGUAUACCCUUCUAGUGCGUUUUCACACAGCACGCAACGUAUGAUAAGGGUGCGUUUGGUACGUGGGACGGGACGGGACGGAACGGGACGAGGCGUUCCGUCCCGCGUUUAGUGCGCCAAAAAUGGAUGGAACGGGCUGUUCCACGGGACAGGUUUUGGGUGUUUUUGCGUUCCACCUCCCCCCUGGAACGGGUUUGUUCCACGUCUGUGGAACACAAUGUUUUACCAUUUUAAGACAAAUAUACCCCAUGUCUUUUUCAAAAAUGACACCUUCGUUCCGUCCUGUCCCGUCCCGUCCCGUCCCGUUCCGUCCCGUCCCGUCCCGUCCCGUCCCGUCCCGUCUGCGUACCAAACGCACCCUAAAGGAACAAAAAGGUAUACACCUCGAGACAAGUAAGUCCCAUGUGCUAGUAAAUUAGCUUGGAUGUAUGGCUGGUUUGGUAUUGCUGUGCUUUGAAAAAAAGCUGCUAUAAGAAUAAGCGGCUGUGAAAUAAAUCAGCAGAGCGUUUGGUAAACUUUUUUGUAAAAGUGCUUUUGAAAAAAAAAGCAGUUUGAUAGUUGGUCUUUUCAUUAAAGGAGCACUGUAGUUCCGUGUGCUUUGAAAAAAAGCCAGUUUUCCAAAGCUGCAAAUAGCAGCUUCAGCUUUUUCUUUUGAUUUCAGCUUAUUCUCACAGCAGCUUCCAAAAUAAGCCAUUUUUUUUCAGUUUACCAAACACCUAAAACCCUCACAACUUUUUUUCAUAGGUGCUUUUUUUUAAGCACCUCACUCCCAAACUAGGUCGUAAUGUAGUCACGGGAAGCGUAAGAAACAAAGAAAGGAGUGUACAGCCUGGGACAAAGCACAUAUAUAUUUUACAACUACAUGUAUGUACUCUAUGGGUGAGGCAUGGCCUAAGGGGAAGGAUCUCCAUUUUUUUUCAAAAAAUAGGAAUUAGUUGUGAGACUCACUCCACAUCGAACUUCAACGAUCCGAAUCAUCUAUUUUGUAAAUUUUGAUUCAUAGAUCAUUCUUACAAAAAUUCAAGUCCGAAACUAAUUAUCACGAUAAAAUUUGAAUGUUUUAUUAGAACAAAAUGUUCGUCAAUUUUUUUGAAUUCAAUUAUAUGCCUGUUUGGAUCCAAAUUUACACCAUUGGCCCAUGCAAUCAAGGCCUUUGAGUGAGCAUAGCUCCCAACCAUCGGAUGGAAAAGUGAAGAUAAUUUUGUUAUUGUUGAAGGAUAAUAUUAUGAUUUUUAUCAUAAUAAUUAUCUUUUAAUAUGGAUUAUCUGCAUCUUCUUAAACCAGAUAAAUAGGAUGCGAAUUAUAUCCUAAGCAAGCAGUACAGUUCGAAUUGAUUUGGGAUGUUUGACGACACUUGGAAGCUAAAAAUGAAUUUGAAAUUCAUUUGAUCAGGAUGCAUGCAUGGAUGGGUUUAAAGGUGAUGGAAUUAUAUGAUGUGAUAAGCCUAGGAUUUGAUGGUCUUGGAUAAUGAUGAGAUAAGAAACUUAGGUAGGCUAGGCCUUUUUUUGCAUGGUGAUGGGCGUUGUCAUAUGAGUUUGGAGUGAUAAGAAUUGAUGAUGUGAGCACAGUAUGAUUGUCGUGUGAAAGGGCACUUCGAGAUUUCAAAGGGACACCUGUUGUUCCUCUUGUAAAAGUCCACAAGCAUAAGAAGACUAGGGAGAUUUUUGCCGAAAUAUAUUAAAGAUAAUAUCAGUUAUUGUUUUUUAGAGUAUAUUCGGAAAGAGAGAUUAUAUUCACACACCUCAAAUUACUUCUCCCACACCUUUUUAUUUUUUUAAUAUUUUCUACACACCACUAACACUUGAUAAAAAAAUAUUAAAAAAUUAAAAGGGUGUGGGAGAAGUAAUUUGAGGUGUGUGAAUAUAAUCUCCCAUUCGGAAAAGGCCUCUAUUGGAUUGGCGAUCAAGAAGACUUGCUAUAAAUACAGAGGCAGUGGCAACAUGAAAAGUCCUCAUCCAAUUCAACACACAAACUGCCAUGUACAAACUCUUGCUUUACGUGAAACCUUUCAACAACCUUGAGAUUUUAUUUUCUUUUUCCCGCUGACACAUCUUAAAUUUUAAUAAACAGCAUUGUGAAGGCAACCGGUGAACAUCUUCAGUUUGGAUAAACAGCACUGUGCCAUAGAACCAUUCGACCGCGAAGCACCUUCAGUUUGGAUAAACAGCAUUGCUCCGAGACCGACUGGUUACCUAUCCAAGUCUCGGUCAAGAAGGAUUUUCGAGUCCUUAUUGGCAGAUGUCAUCUCAUCAGCCUUCUCGACGAAGUGAGAUGUUACCAAGUUACUACAUUUAGCACCCUGAGAGCCGAAUUUGAUAUUGAACUUCGCAGAACUAGCAGCCCUUCAGGCUCUAGAACCCGAAGGCCGAGACGUGUUCCUUUCUCGGCCACAGUCGUGAGAUUUAGAAGUCAACAACACGCCCAACGCAACAUCAACUCAUUUUACUCACCGGUCGAGCUCGGCCGUCGAGUUGGCACGCCCUACACACAACCGAAGAACGUAGUUAGCUUUUUAAUUGUUCGGCCUGUGCGCCACGUAGGCUUGAUAGUUUUUAGGUUGGAGAAAUUAGGUUCACAUCCUUCUUUUUGCUACUCCAUUGAUUAAAAUCCUAUUCAUUUUCAAUUUUUGAUCAAGGUCAUUGGGUAUUAAUAACAUCAUUAAUCAUUUGAAUAAUAAAAUAUUUUUAUUUUUAAAUAUAUUCCUUUAGUGUUAAAAAUGUUAAAAUUAGUAUAUUUAUGUUUAUGGCUAAAUUUUUUAUCAUAUAUUUUUAUUUUUAGUUUGUACCUCUUUUUAAUUUGUACCCAAUUUUCUUUUCAUUUUUAAUUUGUACCCAUAUAUUAGUUUCUUUAUGUGCCCAUAUUUUUUUAAAGUUUUAUUUGUAUUUGUACCCAUGUCUAUAACGUCACGUGACAUUGUAUAUUUAAUCAAUUAUAGAAAAACUACAUAUGGUAUAUUUAUGUUUUAUGCCUAAACUUUGUAUCAUAUAUUUAUAUUUUUAGUUUGUACCCACUUUUAAUUUGCAACAUUUUUUUAAAUUUGUAGUAUUUUCUUUUUAGUUUUAUUUUGUACCCAUGUAUUAAUUUCUUUUAGUGCCUAUAUUAUUUAAAAAUUCAUUUGUACUCGUAAUUUUUUAAUCUUUUAUAUGUACCCUAAUUUAUUUAUAAUGUACCCAUUCUUCUUUAUUAAUGUACCACUUUGUUAUAUGUGAAAUGUACCAAUUUUUUUAACAUUAUGGAUACAUUCUUUUGCCAUUUAUUAUUUCUUAUUUUUACAUAGUUUUUAUCCAUUUAUUCAAGGGAGUUUUAACGAAAAGCCCACGGUACUGUUCACUUUAACGAAAAACCACAUUUUUACACUAAAAAGUCAAACCUGCUACUAUUCACUUUAGCCUUUAUUUUGUCCUUAUCGUUAAAACUCAAAGUUUUUAAGCCCUUUUCAUUAAUUUUCCUUUUAUUUUCAAUCAAAAUGUUUGAAUUUUUUUAUUGUAACUGUUUCUAAUAGUAUUAUAAUGAGGGAUUUUAAAUUUAUAGGAUUAUAAAUCUCAUAAAAUAUCAAACAAUUAAUGUCAAAACUAUAAAAAUAUAAAUAUUAAUUGUAAUAUAAUGAGGUGUACAAAAUCAAAGGACUUUGAUCAAACUUUGAAUACCAUUAUGGUUUUAGUCAAAGAAUAUUAAGGAUUAGAGACUACAUCCAAAGUAUCCCUUUUAGGUUCAAUAAUGCCUUAAAUAUUUUUUAAGGAAAACUAAUAAAAAAGGCUUGAAAACUUUGAGUUUUAAUGAUAAGGACAAAAUAAAGGGUAAAGUGAAUAGUACCAGGAUUGACUUUUUAGUGUAAAAAUAUGAUUUUUCGUUAAAGUGAACAGUACCAAAUGCUUUUCGUUAAAGUUCCCUAUUUUUUAUUUGACUAAUAUUUUACAAAAUUAAUCAAUGAAAAGCAACUUCAAAAAUACACGAUUCAAAUCGUUAAAAUUUAAUGUGGUGCCCUUCCCUUAAAAUGACGUGGUGAUUUAGAUAGACACUAGAAAUUAGGCUCGUGCGUUGCCACAGGAACCAACUUUUUCAGACGUAAUCGAAUGAAUAAAUUCAACACAAUUAUGAACAAACAAAGGGAUACAUAAGUGAAUGAAAUCGAUAAAAUAAGCAAUUUUGCUUUUAUAUACAUUCAAGUGAGUUGACAUAUAAACACAUUGUACAAUGAGUGGGAAGAAACUGAACGUCUUUGAUUAGAAAGAGAUGGUUUCAAAAAAAGUUCUGUUUCCUUAAGAAACAAAAGAAACAUUUAGUUCACAUAUAUAAUGUGUCAUGCAGUGUAGACGGCCAUUUCAACAGAUAAUUAAAAAUAGAGAGUGUUGAGGACUUGUUCAAGUAGUUAAUUUUGUAACCACAACUUUUCAAAGGCAAAAAUAAGCAGAAGGUUUGUUUCCAUACCAAACUGAAGAAACAGAUGCAAGCUACAGUUUACACAUAUUUUGCCCCUGCAGUUAAGACAGCAAAAUAUAUGCCCUGCAAUCUACGUACCUCACUUGUGCAACAUAUGCCUUACACUGGAAAAACAUCAAAAAUUGAAUACAAAUUUGUAAAUCAUGGACAGAUUUUGUUUUACAUUUUUAUAAUCAAAUCAAACGGCAAUGUAGCACGUAAAAUUACAAACUUGAAGCAACCAGAGAGCAAAAAUUAAGAUGUAGAGAUAUCCUCAAACUUGCAACAUAUUGUAUGGAAGCUAACCGUAGAGGUUUGUGAAGCAAACUGCGGCAUGAGUUGCAGUCAAUUGAACAAAAAUAUAGUAGUUCAACUAAAAAAUGCAUAUAAACACAUUUAAGUUAAAUAAAUUCAACACAAUUAUGAAAGGAUACAUGAGUGAAUGAGAUCGAUAAGAUAAGCAGUUUUGCUUUUAUAUACAUUCAAGUGAGCUAGCAUACAAACACAUUGUACAAUGAGUGGGAAGAAACUGAACGUCUUUGAUUAGAAAUAUAUGGUUUCCAAAAUAGUUUUGUUUCCUUAAAAAACAGAAGAAACAUGUAGUUCACACAAAUGUGUCCUGUAGUGUAGGCAACCAUUUCAAUAGGUAAUGCCAAGAAAAGGAAUUAAAAUAUUAGGCAUAUAAAUGCAAGCUUACAGAAACUUUGUUUUUGUACACUUUCUUCUCCCUUGAAUGACAGUUUGUUUCUUAUCUAGAAAAAUAAAAUGAGCAGGUCAAUGAUACUCACAUGUGCAAAAUGCUAAUCCUAUGGUCUAAAGCUAACUGAGUUUUUAAAUGUAAAAUCUCUAAUUUCACUGCAUUUGGAUUGAUCACAGUUCGUGACUUGUUAAACUUGAUAUCUCCUUGUACAUUUUGGGAACUUGACGGCUUAAAGAAGUGCUCAUAAAAGCAAAUUACACAAUAUCUACUAAAAAACUUAGAGAAGGGACUCAAUUAGUCAACAACCAGGUGCCUCACACUUAAAUAUUAAAGACCAAAGGGAGAAAACGAAGCCAAACUCUUAAAAAUUCGUUGGCACACAUGCUUCAUUGGCUCAAUUGAAUGUAUAAUACAAUAAUUCGAACAAUAGCUCAGAAACAGUGCUAAAAUUCCAUUAGCACUAAUCACACACUGUUGGAACAGAGAUCCUAGCAAAGCUACACCAAUUAAAUGACAGACUAAAAACCACAAACAGGAAAAAAGGAAAAACAGAGUUAUCAGACAGCAUGAUUCAAAUAUAAUUUUAUUAGGGUUUGUAAAAGCACAACUCAUCCAGCACUUCGAACACACCGUGGGAUUUAAAGACCAUAGAGUAACAUGUUGGAUUCAUCAUUUUUUGAGAAGAGACAAACCUUUCAUUUAAGCUAACACAAAUUACAUAUCAAAGGAUAAGGAGUACGCUCUAAGAACAGACGGAAAUAAAACAAACACAUAACAGACAUAACUAUCAUACCAAGAAGCCCCCAGACACUUACUAUUGGCUUUGAUAUCAGUUUUACAAUCUGCCUUUGAUAUCAAUUCCACAAUUGGGAAUUGAUAUCAAUCUUAAACCCCACAGGCUAUUCAUGUUUGAGAAGGCAUCAGACAUGCCCGUCAAAAUCAUUACCAAGCUUAGAUACUUUCAGAGUACGUGAAGUGGGGUCACUUACAUUCUGUAUCAAAAAACCUGACAGACGCCAAUGAAAUUUUAAUAGCGGAAUUGAACCUAAUUCAUUAACUGUGGUUCGUGCAUGGUCAUGAUGAUAUGAGGUGAAUCGCUCUCUAAAAUCAGAUCUCGAAGAACCCUAACAGAAGCCAACACCUUGGAUGAAUGAAUCACAUUUAAGUUGAAUAAAUUCAACACAAUGCAUAAAUUGCCUUAAGAUCUGCUAAACUGAAGUAACAAAAUGACAAAACUAUACAAAUUACAGACCAGAAACAAAGCUAUAGCUGACUGACCUUAUGCCAAAUCCCUCGAGCUCUUUUUCAAUUAGACGCUUGUGAGUUAUUGGCUUUAUUGCAUCAUGAACAAUUAAAAUGCAAUUGCAUGUCCUAGCAGUGCUGAUAACCAAAAUAUUGUUAGGACAACAAACGGUAUCAAAGUUUUCAUCUGAAGCUAUUUUGACUUUAUGCACACUGAGAUGAAGAACCAAUAUAUAUUAAUUAUACCUUUGGGAUAUUUGGGUGGUCAAGCUUAUGCCAAACAUCAACCUCUUGCUGAAACGACGCCCGAAGAGCAGCAGUUUCGGCUAUCCUCCCCCCAAUCCAAUAUCUUUAAUUUUUCACUAUAAUAUCAAGAAUACAUAAAGCCAUGAGAACAAUAUUGAUAAGAAAAAUACAGGAUAACCUACGGUUAGGGGUUCAUUAUUCAAUCAAAUAACACCGUUUUCUUACACUCAAUAAAAAAAUUUAUGUAUUUCUAAAUUUGUACAUGCAGUCACAUGUAUUCUUUUUCUCCAAUGAAAUAAACCCCCCCCCCCCGGAGUCUAAUAACGAUGAAAGUGAUUGACCCCAAGAACCCCAAACAUGCCAGUCCUAAGAACACAAAGCAUAUAAACAGUUAACCACACACUUAAGCACAUUUGCGUCUGCACAGUGGCCAUUUAUUAGGUCAUAAUACACAUGAGUAAACCCUAAAACACAAAAAUCAAAGUUACAAACUUUCAAUACAAACCAAUCGAGAAUGAAUUUAUACCACACAUUCUGGCAUAAAAGAAAAGAAAAAUCAAUACUAAUAUUUGACUGCAAGCAGAUCUUGUGGGACUACUACAAAUAAUAUAAACCAGUAGAUUUCCGUAAUAAAAUAUAACCACAGAUGAAUGAAGGGCUAUUAACUUAAUAUUUAGAAAUAACCGUCAGUCCCUAGCUAUUAUGCAUGCCACUAAUGAAAGGAGGGAUCACCAUUUAUUAAGGUACCUGGAAUUCACCAAUACCAGGAUAUUUCCAACCAUGCUGUUCAGGAUAAGAAGGAUAUUGUAGCUCUCCACACGGACCUAAUCCAACUUCAAUUUCUGAUAUUAUUCCUUCCUCAAAAAACUCAUCAAAUUCAACUCUGAAGCUCCUCAAGUGGUCGAAGUAAACCUGCAUUGGUUCCAUUAUAAUAUAACAAAAUAGAAACUCUCAGCAUUAAACAAUAAGAAUGCAUAGGGUCUGAUUCUUAGAGCAUACAAAUUCUUAGAAAUAUAGAACAUAUAAGUUGGAAUAGGUUUAGCAAUAGUUUCUUUUAAAACAUGAGUGGAACAUGUAAAAAAAGACAAAUAUAGGAAAGGAGAUAUGACAAUCCAUAGAAAUAAAAGACCAACAUAACUAAGUAAUUCUAGAAUACUAUACCUCAACAGCAGUGCGGCCUCUUAAAACCCGCUCUUUAUCAAUUCCCCAAGUGAGACAUUCAGUGUUGCGUUUCCCUUCUUUAUUAGUAAAAUAUAUAUAUCAGGAUUCUUUUGGCCCAUUUCUGUCACCCAGUGAGAAAGAGGGAUAAGUACAUCAUCCCCGACAUCGCCUCCACACUCGUGGAAUGACAUCACGACCUAAACCAAUAUACAGCAAGACAAUGCACACCAUAUCCAACAUGCAUAUUCAAAGAAAAUAUGUAGCGCAGAAAAUCUCUCUUUUUUGAAAUGAGUUUUAACUGAGUCUCACAAACUAAUUUACAAAAAAGAAAGCUAUCAGUGGGUUACUUUUCAGCAAUCUACUCAAGACUAUUUUUCCCCUUACCUAAGACAACAGUCAGAAUAAACUUAAUUUAUAUACAAUGCAAGCCAAAAGAAGCAACAAUUGGUAUUCAACCUCACUUCCAGAAAAUUACUCAAAAGACAAUGAGAUAAAGAGUUUCAAAAAUAUGAUGCAUAUUUCAAUCGAGCCUCAUUAACAACAGAAAAUACAGCAGCACAAAGCAUAACAGAAACUUGGAAAUGGAAAAGGAACCUGCAAUUAGGCUUCUUCAGAAGCAAAAAUGGCAUUAUGGAACCCAGAAUAAGAGAGAAUCACACAGAGAGAGAGAGAGAGUGGAGUGAGCCGGUCUGAGCAAAAAUAAAGAUACUGAGCUUUAGAAAGUAGGAAAGGAUGUUGUUACCAUCCACUAAUUGUAUUGUUCCAUUCAGUAAAGCAACCAAUGCAGUUCUAGGCUCAUAGUUCCUAUUCACAUUAACCCAAGAAAAUUGAGCUUCAAACUGAAAUUUAAAAUCAACAUUGACCCAAAAUACAACUUCAAAUCAAAUUUAAAAUUUAUAUUGGCCCAAGAAAUAAAAUUUGUUCCGCUUUAAACUCAGAAAUUCGAAACCAACCCAUCACCUAGAAAAGUACCAAACAGCAAAAGAAAAGGAGGAGAAAGGAAGACACCACAUUUUGCAACCCUUUGAGUUUUUGAAGUCUAAAUCUUUCCUCUUCUGCUUCUUCAAUGCUUAAAAUUUUCACUCACUGACUAUUGUCUGCCAUUCUUCUUUACUCGGCUUUAAAAAUAAUUUCCAUAGAAUAAAUAAGCAACAAUUUUCUAUGAAUAAAAAGAAGUGGUAAGAAUUCUCCCUCAGAAAAUUAAAAAAAAAAAAAAGAAUGCUCACAAUUUUGUCUAGCAAAUACUCCAGCUUUGUAUCUUCCUAACAUAGGAUUUAUUUUUUUCCUGUAAGAAAGAUUAUUCUCUUGUUGCCCGUUGGAAUAUAAGGGAAUGUAUAUUAUUUUCACAUUUGAAAAUAACUCAAGUUUCUUACAAUAAAAAGUAAAAUUGUUUGCAGUGUGUCUUUGAGUACUAACAAUGCGAACCCCAAGUGACAAUGCAAUUUCCCGUUCUAAAGCGAAGGAAAAAGAAACGAAAAAUUGAAGAAACCAGCCUUUUUGUUCAGUGUGAUGGCUGACAAUUUAUCUAAUGGGAAUAUGAAUAAUUGUGUUACUCGAUACAAAGUGCAAAUAAAAAUUGAAGAAAGCACUUGAAGAUGAAAUGAAGUGUGGGUAAAAAAAAAACAAAUGAAAAUUGAAAUUGAGAUAUAUGAACAAUGAAAAUUGAAAUUGAGAUAUAUGAACAUUCAUUCUUAGAGAUGGAAGGGGAGAGAACAAAAGAUACUAAUCAGCAUAUUGCCAACAUAUAUCUCAGAAACCACCAGAUUAGUUGUAAGGUAGAUUGUUAAAGCUGUUUGAGAAACUUUCGUCUACAAUAUUAUGAAGGAAUGCAAACUAAGUAAUUGGUAGCUGAACGAAAUUUUGGCAAGGAUUUACAAAGUAACUCUAUGAAAUUCAUCAAUAAAUCAUCUAUACAGACGCACAUGUUCCCAGUCACAAUGAUUAAAAUCUAAAACAUUUAUUCAUGCAUUCGUGCAAGGGAAAGAAUGGACUCAGCCUGGUUUCUAUCAAGUGUCAACAAAAGAACACAAUUCAAGUUGCACAAAGCCAAAUUAAAUGCAUAAGUGACAUAAAAAUUGAACAUACCGCAUGAUAGUCCUCAAUCUUCAUCAACCGUGAAUCAUGAAUUAUGGAUAUUAUUCAGACCACGAAUGUGUAAACCCUCCAAUUACGGUUGGUAAUCGGGUUCAAAAUAAUGUUUGUAGAAGUGUGCUGAUUCCUUGAAUAAAAAGCAGAGUCUGCACUAUUCUCACUUUGUCACCCUAAUCAAUUAGGUCAAAUAAGGAGCACAUUCAUCAUCCAUAUCAGUCCAUAUAAAAUACGCAAACAUUAAAAAAAAAAUUCAAUCUUGACCAUUUUUGCUAUGCGAAACUGACGCUUAAUUCUUUUUUAAGAAAUUAGCAUAAUAGUACACAAAAUUUACUUGAAUUUAGUCUCCAAUUGAACAAAGGCCACAACGAUAUAAGAAUUGAAUGAAAGUGGUAUACAAAAUCAACUCACAUCAUCACCACCCAUCAAAGGAACACGGAAUGUGGGGAUCAUCACAGCAGUUCCCAAGGCCAAAAUGUAGUGCUGGAAACCCAAAGCAAUUGUUUCCCCUGUUUUCAAAACAAAAAAUGAGAACCAAAUUGGGGAAAUUUUAAAACCCAACAAAAAAGUCGAGAUUUGGGUUUGAGAAAAGAUGAAUAAUAAAUGAGAAAAGGUGAAAAAUAAACAUACCCUAAGAGGGAUUUGAGUCAAUGCCUUACCCUAAGCCUUGGAGUUGGUCCAUUGCUGGAUGGCUUAUCUCUUCUGGUUUUGGAGCUGCCAUGGCUUCUGCCCAAUUCAAAACCCUUAAUCUGCCUCUAAAUCCAAAAGGGUUUUUACCAAAUGAAUCAAAGAACACUGAUUUGAGAGAGAAAUUCUCCCUGGGUUUUGUUCAAUGAAUACAAAAAUGGAAGUUAUUUUUACCAAUUUAGAGAGAGAUUAGAGUCUAUGACAAUGAAAAGCACAAAAGAGAAAAAGCUAAUGGAUCAUGGAGGUAAAAGAGGACUGAUGACCACACAACCCUCUCUCUUUCUGUCCCUCGAAUUGCACUCUCCCUGUCACCGCGGCCCAUUCCCUCAGAACCCUACCCCCAAAGUCCUGCUCAACCCUCUAGUACGAAUUGGACCUUUGCUCCACCCGAAAAAUAUUUAAAAUGUUCUUAAAUGACUACUUUCAACUAAAAGAGUAGAACCAAAUCAAAACCAACAACUUUCAACUAAAUUGCACAAAAGAGUCAAAAUUUAAUUGCUAUACAGAACUAUCGGUUCAAUCGAAAACAAUCAGAAUUCGAGACCCUACCUCCUCCAUUCUCUGAGAGCGAAGCCCUCCUCAGGCAGCAUCUCCGACGGCGCUGGCAAAAUGGGAUCGUCGGACCCGCCAAACCCUCCAUCAAAACCCUGACCGUUCGAUUCGGGCCUCAAGUAUCCCUACUGGUCGAAGCAGUAGCAGAAGAAGAAGAUGAGGAGGAAGACGAUGGACGUUCAUAAUCGAAGAGUUCGAAGGGAUUUACCUUUGGAUUCUUCGGCUUUCAGAUGGAGUUUGCUUGUGUGUGGGCCUGCAACUUCGUUUGCAGGCGUGAUGUUUCCAUGGAAUUUCUCUCGGGUUUACAUAGACAACAAAGCGAGAGAGAAAGCUUUUGCAGAAGGGGAAUUGUGUUUUGUCGAGGUUUUGAGUUGUAGGUAGAGCUAACGAAGGGAGAUGAGAGAGAGAAGUGGAGCGGCUAGGGUUUGAGUAUGGAAGAGAUGAAAAAUGGAGAGAGCACCUGUUUUGGCUGAAGCACGGCUCACCGAACGAAGAAUAAAGAGGCGGUGGCAAUUUUGUAAAUAACUCUCAAUUCACUGUUCAUUUCUACAGUGCCAUUUCCCAUGCUUUCUUUAGACUAAAGUAAUUGUCAAUUUGCCAUGCCAAAUAUUAGAAAAGUAGAGUGUGGACACGGGAAGAAAACCCAGCUUAGAUAUGGGACCCACAUGCACAUGCAAAUGCAAAUGCAGUUGUCAUCAAUCUCAAUAAUUUUCAACAAACCUUUAUGUUUUGAUUCAAACAGUUUCCCACUUUCGUGCUUUUUGCUUGGUGGGCAAGGAGCAGUUUUUUCUCUUUACUUUAUGAGUUUAACUGCCCAUUAUUAUUAUUAUUAUUAUUAUUUCGAAAAUUAAAAUUGGUUUCAGAAUUUUCUUUUCAAUUUUUGGUUUUCAAAUGAAUCUUAUAAUGUUUAUACGGUCAAAAUACAUUAACGUGUGCAUGAACAAGGAGGAGCACGUCUAAAUCGAGAAAAAAUCUAAAUUUUUGUAUGUGGUUCAAUAUUUUAAUGAAUAGAGUAUUAGGUUUUUACCUAUGCGUUCCGUGUUCAAAACUCUCCAAUUUUCUAAAUUAUUGUAAUAAUUUCGAACAUCCCUUAAUAAUAUGGUACAAAUUUAUAGCUACCGUAAUGUUCCAAUCAAACAAACAAUGACAUGUUUACAUUUUUCAAUACGUGACAUUAUAUAGUUAAAUUGAUCACGGUGCUACGCGGAAGAGGAUCCUCUCUGGAUCCAUUUUGUGGGGAUCCUAGGGAUCCCUACAUCAUAAUCGUUCAUCGUACAUUAUGUGAUCAGUUUUCGUCAAGUACUAUUUGUGUUUUAAUUUUAAAUAGAAAAAAGUCAAAUGAUUUUUAACCGCAUAAUACACGAUGAAUGAAAGAUAUGAAGAUCCGUAAGAUCCCUACAAUUUGGAUUUAGAUAGAAUUCAAAUCCGUGCUACAUGACAACAAAACCAUUAUAUAUAAAUUGCUCUCUAAAAUUAACUCGACAUCGUCCUUUUUUAAGUCAGGUAUAGCACACAAUUAGCCCCUGGAUUUGAAAAUACAACUGGAUCACCGCCAUUUAUACGAUUUAAUGGAACGCUAGUCCGAGUUGGACGGGGCCCAUUUCCUUCCUAAUAAAACAGCCAAGUUGAUGUUGGACUGUUGGAUUGGUGAUAGUGAUGAGCUUUCAGCGCGCUGUUUAACUUUAACGCUGCAUGAUCCAUCACACGACGGACAAUAUAUGUGCCAGAUACAACGUUGCACCUUUUAACCUUUCUACCCAGUAUCCACCUAAUUAUCUCAGCCUCCAUUUAAUGUCAAUUUAAUAUCUACAAUCUUUUGCUAAUAGUUGGGGGGUUUUCUUAACUAAGUUAUCUGCGACUCUAUAAUGUGUACAAAACUGUGCAGGAUUAACCACAAUCGUACAAUGAUGACUGAACUCUGAGAAAUAUUCCCAAAUGGACCACACUUAGGUGAUUCUGGACAAAUCUAUGUGUGAUUGUCACACUGUCAAAUAAUUUUAAUCAGAUUUAAAAAAGAUUUCGUGUUGUUGAACCAAAGUUGUAAGAGACUAGAGGAAGUCAGUCCUCGCUAAGGGAAGGAAAGGUUGAUAUUGGUGUCACGCUCGACCUUGUCGAGGGGGAUGAAGGUGCGGUCGAUUCAAUACUCGAAUUAACCAAAGAGUGAUAUUGUCUACACACCUUCUUUUAAGUAUCACACACUCUUUGUUAAUUUAUGUCAUAUGAUCAUCUUUAAUUCAUUCGAUUCGAUGACAAAAAAUUAAGAGUUGUGUGUGAAAGGUAAAAAGAGGUUAGCAACACUCUUAACUAGAGGUGGCAAAUCAACACGUUGGGUUGUUAAUGGGUACUCAUUAAGACUCAUUUAGUUUGAUUUCACCUUACACCAUUAUCACCAUUACAAACCCCACCUUUAUAUUAUGAUGAUAUCAAAUUAAACGAGUCUUAACGGGCACUCAUUAACAACUCAAUGUGUUGAUCUCCACCUUUACCCUUAACCAAAUAAUGACGAAAGUUUGACAUUUCAUAUCGUCUUCUCUCAUAAGCCUGAUAGUCAUAAAAUAGGAAUAAGGAUCAUCUCCGGAUCCUCUUUGGGAGGAUCCCGAUGAUCCGUGUAUCGUGUCUAUUUAUUGUACAUCAUGCAGUCAGAAAUCAUUUUAAAUUUUAUUAUUUAAAAUUGAACACAAACAGUAUUUGACAAAAACUAAUCACACGAGGUACGAUGAACGGACACGAUUCACGGAUUCCUGGAAUCCCCACAAAGAGGAUCCAGAUUCAUAAAAUAUGGUAUAGAGUUAGACCAAAAGCGACAUAAUUACACCACAUGGCAAUGUGACAUUCAAACCAAAAAAUACUCAUUACUCUCAAGUUUAAAGAACACUUAGCUACACUCAAUAUGUACCGUGAUAUGGAUAAUGUUAUUAACACCUAGUUUUACUUUCUACAUACCUGGUUAAGUUUUGGCUAUUGAUUUUUUUUUUUCAAUUCAUUCGAUGAGAUAACCAAAAAUUAAGAAGAGUGUGUAAAAACUAAAAAUAAGUAUGUGAAUAGCACUACCAUGUGACAAUCCUGAAAUUGAACCUUUUCACAUUGCAAUGCAUAAUCUUUUUUAUGCAGUUAGAUAACUUUAGGGUUUAGGUGUGAUUAAUUGAACUAUAACAUGAAGUGAUAAUAAAUUACUUUCCCACUUAACUCGUCAAUUAUAUAACUAAUUUAAUACUUUACUUAAUUACAAGUGAUGUCUACACUACUAGGUUCGGUCCACGUAUGAUUGACUUUAUACAAUGUCACAGUCAUAGUGGUAUUGAAGAAAUCUGAAUCUGGCGGGAUCUUCUUUAUCAGAUUCUCGGAGAUUCGUGAAUUAUAUUCGUUCAUCGUAUAUCGUGCGGUUAGAAAUUAUUUUAAAUAUUUUUAUUUAAAAUUAAAUACAAACAGUACUUGAUAAUUGAUCACAUAAUAUACGAUAAACGUACACGAUUUACAUAUCUCUAAAAUUCUCGCACCAUCUGGAGAGGACCCAGUUGGGUAUUCAAGGGCAGAAAAGUCGUCCUCCUCACUCACCUCCAUAAGAUAGGGGCAUUUCCGUCAUUCCAUGUGCCUUGAUCCGAAGUUCAACCCAAAAUUUAAGUGGGCCGUCGAUUACUCCUAAGCACGAUUCCCGUGAUUGACGGUGGAUAGAGUGCCGCGUGGUCACUCCCCCCCGGUAAAUCCAUCUCUUCUGCUACGAGACCUCACUCUCUAUUUCUCUCUCUCUCUCUCUCUCUCUCUGUCUUCCUCCUCCUCCGAGCUUCCAAAAAGCUCAUUUCUUCCUUCGAGCCACCGCCCGCCAGUUGAAGCAGUUGCAGAAGCAGCAGCAGCCGCAGAGAGAAGCUAAGCAUGGCGGCAUUCCUCAUUGUCCUCCUCACAUCUCUACUAGCUCUCACCACUCUCCCCGCCGCCGAAUCCCGACUCUACACCAACUACUACCAAAAAUCGUGCCCGAGAUUCGCCCAAAUCGUCCAAGACACCGUCACCAAUAAGCAGAUCAUGAAUCCCACCACCGCCGCCGCCACUCCCCGCCUCUUCUUCCACGACUGCCUCGCCAACGGCUGCGACGCCUCCAUCCUCCUCUCCUCCACCCCCUUCAACAAGGCGAAGGAGAAGCUCGGCGUGUUAGGGAUUCAGACCGGAAGGCGGGGAGAGAUUAGGCACAGGUGUCGAUAUCAACCUCUCAUAGAACAGAGAAGCAGGAACUACUCGCUGUGCACCAGAUCAUAAAUUGGUCCAUCCCUAGUAUGCGUUUUAACUCUUCCCUAUUAGGUUAAUAUUUAUACUUCCAUUAUUUAAGCGAAUGGUCUCUUGUUCCGGCUUACUUCCACAUUUCUCGGUUUUGCUCCCACAUUUCUUGGAUUCCUGGGAUCGUAGAGAUCGUAACCAUUAUUCAUACAUCCGUUUUCGUUAAUUACUAUUUAUAUUUAAUUUUAAAUUUUAAAUUUUAAAAUAAUUUUUAAUAUAUGAUGAACGGUUACGAUCGUGCGGGAUCGCUACGAUCCUUUUCCACAUCUCUUGGAUACUAGUUGAAAACACACUUAUUUACUCAAGUAAGGUGAAAAGGUUGUCAAGUAUCAUACUUGAUGGUAUAUACUUACAGCUGUCCGACGUGAGAAUUCCGUUAAUCUUUGUAAGUCCUUUCUCUUUUCUUUUUGGAAAAUAUUUAUCGGAUUGUUGGAGAAAUUUACUGAUAUACAUUGCCCAGUCUUUUUGAUAAUUUUACUGCUCAUCAGAACAAUCUUUUCUAGCAAACCCUACUGACAGUUUUUAUCGUUAUUAGGUCCGGAAUACAGGAAGCCGGAUGGAAAUUGGUAACAGCAUCAGCCACUUCGGAAUCAUGAGUGCUCAAGUUGUCUUUGUGCUUUUGCUCUUUGCUCUCACGAACAUAUAUACGAAAGAUAUCGACAUUGGUUCAGUUGACCGCUCCUCUCGGAAAGCAAUGUAGGUCGUGUUAAAUUGGGACUUUGGGCAUCAAAAUAAGUCACCAGUGUUCAGGAAAAGCGAGCAUUAACGCCGCUAAGGCGCACCUCUUGCGGUCUUCUGCAGUUUUUUGCCCUUUAUUCCUGCAACUGCUGAUUGCUCGUACAAAGUUCGAUUGAAAUUUAAUGAGAGUCAGAGCAAUGGGAUUUUCCAAGUGUUCCCCAAAGAUCGCACAACGUUCGAUUGAAAUUUUGGCACUCUCCGCACGUCUUGAUUAGUUGAUACGAUUUAACGAGUUAUCCCGUUUAGAUAUUCAUUGAUCAAUUUUGUAACUAAAUUUAACAGUACAAACUCCUUUUUUGGCUGUCUGAAAUAUUUGAUUGAUCAAUUAAAUGUUACUAUCUUCCAUCUGGAAACAAUAAAAGUCGGCCCUCUAUUGGGAGAAAUUUUUGGCCGCGAACGACCAUACCACAUGGCUGUCUAAAAGCAUUUUUAACCGGAGUCCCAUCAUUAUUUUUGAAGACUCAUUUACGAACUUAAAGGGAAUAUGCUUGUUCCUAAAAGAAAAUUAGUUCCAAUGAGAGUGUCUUAUAAUAUAAUCAUUAAAUUUAGGGACUACAAGUUAAAAAAUCAUUGUUAAUUUCAUAGCGGUUGAUCUAAAUGGUAAAAAAACAAAAUAAAACCCCAAAAAUACUUUCAUACCUCUUGUUUUCUGAGCAACAGACGAGAAAAGUAACGCCAUCUGCCCCAUUGGAAGCUGGUAUUCUAGAAUCCCAUCACGUGCUGGGAACUUCACCUGAAGAAAGUAGGGAUUCUAACAUAAAACUAAGAAUAAUGCUAUCUACAUACACAUCCCUACGCAAUCCUUAAUUGUAAGGUAAUUUUUGGGAUCUCCGGACAGUCCCCUAUAUUAUAGGGACUGGAGUUCCAAUCCACUGAAAGUCACCAAGUUCUUAACUUUAAAACAUACGGUGGUACGAACCAAGUAUAAGGACAAAUAUUGGAGAUGCUCUAAUUCAACGAACAAAACGCCCAUUCUUGCCGAUGGUCCCACCCUUCGCCCCUUGCUUGCGUGCGAGCGUCCGAACUCAAGGAUUGCCCCUUGUAUUUGUGCGCGCGUGCGAGCCCUCAGAUUCACUCGUUAUAUUCCUUUGUAAAUUUCUUUGCAUCCUUCCGUGAACGUUCAGUUGUUAAAAUCAGCAAUGUAUUAACCUCCUCCGAAUAUUCGUUGCAGGGAGCAAGAGGGAAUAAAUAAUGCAAGUGGGAAUAAUUAACCUGAAUUUCAGGAAGCCGAGGAAAAGCACCGAGGCAAAGGUCUAGGGCCCUCCCUUUUCCUCCGAGAAACUUUCAGGAACAAGUUGCGUUGACGACGACCUAGACUUUGCUGUGCAUCGUCGACUUGGUGGGAAGUUUCGUCGUGGGGCCUUUUGAUUGGUGAGACAAAGAAGUCCAUAGUAUUAAUAAUAACAAUAGGAUUGAUUCGUAUUCUAUAUAAAGAGAGACAUUGAUCACAUUCUGGUAUCCUCUUCUCUCCAUCUACUGUGUGUUUUAAGCAGAUCGGCAAAAGCUUGAAGAUGAACGACCAGUAAGUCAACUUCGACUUCAAACUCCUCCGAUCCUUGUUUUUCUUUGAAUCCUUUGCCAUGAUUUUUCUUGUGUUGUCUUGAUUAAGCGAAAAAUGGUCUGGAAUGGCUAAAAGUGUGUUUUUCAACUAUCAAAAGUUCUUGCGGUUAAAUCUGGCAAAAAAAACUUGCAAAACGCUUUUAGAUAGACGGUAUAAGCUCUUUUCGGAGAAGCAUGUGCUAUGUCCGCCUUCUACAAGCACUUCUAUAUUUUCAAGUGCUUUUUCGAAUGGCACUUGAGUAUUUAAUAAACAUUUCCAUAUGUUCAUGGUAAAAGAUAAGUGCUUAUGAGUAAAGUGAAUCUUACGAAAUACAAUAGCAUAAUAAUCGUCCUUAAAGUUUACCAAAGUGCAAUUUCAUUCUUACAAGUAUUUUGCUAAAGUGGCUUUGUUAGAAAUAGGUAGCAUUAUUCACGUACUUAUUUUUACUAACAAGAGAGGAUCCUUGCUGUGAGGAUCCUAGUCGGAUCCUCUUUGUGAGGAUAUGGAAAUCCUCCAAUCACAUUUGUUUAUCGUAUAUCGUGCGAUCGGUUUUUGUAAGAUAUUGUUUAUAUUCAAUUUUAAAUAAAAAUAAAUUAUAAUGAUUUCUGACCGCACGAUGUACGAUGAACAUAUAUGAUUGGAGGAUCCGCCCAGGAUCCUCUUGAGACCUACACCUCUUAAUUUUAGGGUCGGUAGAUCAAAUGAAGUGAGGAAGAUCAAUGAACAAUAAUUAACAAGGGUGUGUAAGAGGUGAAUAUGGAUUGGGGAAUAACACUUUGCUAGAAAUAUGAUGAAAUUUCUAUAGAAAACUAGCUUGUUUGAAACAUUUUUAAACCAAUUCUUAGUAAAAAUGCAAGUAAAGUUUAGAAAAGUACUUGCAGUGCUUCCUUGCAAAAAGCAAAUAGUUUUUUUAAGGAAACACUUCAAAUGUUUCUUUAUAAGUGCUUUUGAAAUCUAAAAAUAUUGUCACUAAAAAACGCUUUUAAUUAUUUUAAAAGUACUUUUAAACAUGUAAUUAAAAAUACUUUUGGUGAUUAGACUGACAUUUUCAGCUAUUUCAACAGAAGUUUCAAGCAUGUUUGCUAUUAUAGUUGGAUGCUAUUUGCUUACACCCUCCAUUUAACUUUGCUUCAAUUUUUUGUUGGUGAUCAUGACAGAAUUAGCACUGCUGGGCUUGAACUAGCAAAUGAGCUGGUGACUUCUCCUCCCCUUCACCAGUCAUGGGACGCGGUUCUUGAUCAGAUGCAAAAGCUCCCCCCAGCAGCUGAUCCGAACCAAAAAAUGGCCUUAGACAUUAGUGAAACCAAGCACUCAAACACCACCAUCAUAUCUUUUCUUACUUCACCAGUCACACUUCACGAUCAACAAACGAUGGUUUCGUCGUUGACUCUCAAGAACGCAGAUUUUUCUCUCUUUGAGUUUUUGUGCGGCAAAAACAUCCCAAGUUUCUCCGUCAAUGAAUUGGCAAUCAACUUCUUCAAAUUGAACCUCACAAACCUCGAUAUUUGGCGAAAAAAGGUGCAUAUUAUUGUCUCUCUGAUAACUGAUAAUGUUUAACCAUUUUGACGACUUUUAAUGUUAGUAAGAAACAGUUAAAAAUCAUAUUUAUAUUGCUAGAUUACUUUUCACUUAAUUAGUUUGGAUUCUUUGACAAACUGUUAAUGUUAACGAAAAACUCUUACAAAACCGAGUUUAAGUGUUUUUUCUUUUACUAUGAAAGAAGUUUGAGGAACUUAUUUGUAAAGACUUCUCCAAAUUGAUUAUAUAGAAAUUCAGUAAUUGACUAACUUUUAUGUAAUAUUUCAGCUGGUAGAAAUGUUAGAAAGCAGCAAAUCCUCACGGAUAGUUAUCACUGGACAUUCUUUUGGAGGUGCUGUGGCUACCCUUUUCACCUUAUGGCUGCUACAAAGCCUUGACUUGUUGAAAGCGAAACGCCUCCUUUGCAUCACUUUCGGUUCACCCUUGAUCGGUGACGAACAACUCCGACAAUGUGUGUUGGAAUUCUCAACAUGGAGUUUCUUGCUUCUUGAAUGUAGCCUCCAUCAAUGAUCCUGUACCUAAAGUCUUCCUAACUUCGCAAGGGAGUGGUUAUAAGCCUUUCGGAACAUUCCUACUGUGCUCCUCUUCGGGUGGUUCUUGCAUUGAGGACGCUGAUGCCAUUUUGCAACUAUUGGUGGAAACCAGCUCUCAGUGUGUUCAAAAUCCAGUUCCGAAUUCAGGGACUCAGUUGUUUGAUUACGGAAAGAUUUUGAAUGAUCUCAAGACUAAGGCAUUGUCUAGAGAUGUCUUUGAGUUGGUUGAAGAGGAUAGAGUUCCACUUAAAGCUGGAAUUAAAACACAGUUGGCAGCAAUAUUAGGAGUUCUCAGCUCACAGGUAUCAAACUUUCAACACAAAUAUCUGAUUUGAUGAUGAUUUAGGGAAAUGGUUUCCACACAAACCUGUUUAUUUCCAUCUUUUGAUUCUCCUUUGAUUUAUUUAAUCCAAAGACUAGAAAUAAACACAGGUGUGCAAGGGGAGAAUAUGAGUCUGCGGAAAUCACAUCCCAUGUUUACUUCUAGCUACUAACUUUUCUCUCAACUCCUUUUGUAAAAGUCAUUGCAGCAGCAACAAACCAACAUAGAAUUCGAAAGUCUGAUAAAAAAGAUGGUCACUCACGAACGUAAACUAGCGAUCCAGAAGACGAAGGUUUACAGUUCUUUUUUGAAAUUGAAUGAGAUUAAAAAGUACAUGGCCAACAUUGAAUGGUACAAGAAGGAGUCCAAAGACAUGGGAAUUGGAUACUAUGACAAGUACAGAAACAAGCGUUACACGAGUGACAUUACUGCCGAAGAGUACAAGAAGAAGCUCUUUAAUUAUUGGCAUGACAUGGUUAUGGAAGCUGCGAACAAGCCCCAGACAGAAGGAACCGCAAUGCGUGUCCGUUUUCUUUUUGCUGGAACGAAUUACAGAAGGAUGAUCGAACCGCUUCACAUUGCUGAGUACUACAAGGAAGGUGGAAAAAAUUACGUAGGGGAAAGGCCUCCACAUUUCGUUCUUUUGGAGCAAUGGUUCAAGGAAGACGAGAAAAAGAAGAAGGAAAAGAGAGAGAGGGAAGAAAGGGAGAACCCGCAACUGCGCAGCGCAAGCAAGUCCAACUCAAAAGCAAAGAGUGUGGUUUCUAGUCUGAAUGAUGAUUCUUGUUUUUGGGUGCACGUCGAGGAAGCGCUUAUCUUGUGCGACGAACUAGCAAGUAAUCCAGAUGCCAAGCAAAAGCUGAUCGAAUUUGAGCAUUACGUGCUGGAUACACUCGAGAAUUUCGCAGUGACACCUGAUAUUUUCUUGGCGCAGAGCAGCUUCAUGCAAUGGUGGAACAAGUAUAAAGGGAUUGUGGGAAGUAGCUACUCCUCAAAACUCACGGACGUCAUGAGGCGUCGCACUUAUCUCAAGUAUGCGGAUGGGGUCUCGGUUCUUGCUGGUCUAUAAGCCAAGAUAAUUGAGUUUUAAGCAAGCAAUUAAAUCAGAUAAAGCAAGAUUAGUUUUGCUGUAUCGCUCAUGAUCUUCAUGGAGAAAGACGGGCUGUACUUGCCGGACUUCUUGGUGCUACUGCAUUUGAAUGUUUUUGCUACUACAUGGAGAAAGACCAGCUUUCUUGUGAGACAAAUAAUGUGUGGGGGUAUUGUUUCAACUAUAACGUUGUAAUUUCCGCUUCAUAAAAGUAACGACGCUCGUUGUAUUUUGAUUUUCCCAAGUGUGAGUGCUACCUAAUCAGUAUUUGUAAUAAAUUGAGACUUACAUUUGUUGUAGUUUGCGUUGUAUUAAUCUUCAUAUGAACUUAUAAAGUACACAAGCUUAAUCUAGUAAAUACAUAUUUUAGCCAAGUGACUAAGCGUGGAACUGGAAUUCAAAGCUAAUGUAGAAAUACUUACGUAUCCCAUAGUGUUAUACCUUCUGAAUUCUGAUGCUUUUUUCACAUAGCACGCAACGUGUGAUUAAGAAACAAAAUGGUAUACACCUCGAGAUAGGUAAGUCCAUCUCUUAGUAAAUUAGUUUGAUGUAAUGUAGUCAUGUGACGCGUAAGAAACGAAGAAAUGAGCGUACAGCUUGGGACACAUUACAUAUAUAUUUUACAACUACAUGUAUGUAUGCUCUGGAUGAGGCAGACCCUAAGGGAGGGAUCUCCAUUUUUUUCAAAAAAUAUGAAUUAGUUUUGGAACCUACUCCAUAUCGAACUUUAACGAUCUUAAUCGUCUAUUUUGUAAAUCUCAAUUCAUAGAUCAUUCUUGCAAAAAUUCAAUUAGUCCGAAACCAUUUGCCUAUUUAAUUAUUAGAUUAAAAUU
RNAcentral lists this long non-coding RNA (38439 nucleotides) under Malus domestica (apple). RNAcentral describes it as "long non-coding RNA (MDOM_LNC007860)". Lineage: Eukaryota; Viridiplantae; Streptophyta; Magnoliopsida; Rosales; Rosaceae. The record is from RNAcentral.